RNA transcript from Rosa rugosa (rugosa rose), 1206 nucleotides. RefSeq lists it as uncharacterized. NCBI's taxonomy places the organism in Eukaryota, Viridiplantae, Streptophyta, Magnoliopsida, Rosales, Rosaceae. The record is from RefSeq and is a predicted model, not a curated record. The transcript has 9 exons.
AAAAAUCCUAGCCUGCUCUCUGCCUCUCUCUCUCUCUCUCUCCGUCCGUCUCUCUCGUUGUCAUGUAAUUUUGUGAGUGUUACUCCAGAAUCCCUCGAUUUCCUAGAUAAGAGUUUCAAAAGCCAUGUUAUUUUUGGGCCUAAACCAACCUCGAGGCUUUGGUGAUUCGAGGUUGGCUUGGGGAGUGGGAGAUCUGUUGUAGAGUUUUCCGACGACGACGUAGAUUUGGAUCUACGAGGCAUCAAAGGCGUUCAAUGGAGCAGGGGAGUUGGCCUGAGCCUAGAGCUUGGGGUGCUCGCGGGAUUUGUCUUACAACUAUUUAUCAACAAGUCUUCCCCCAUGGUUACCACUCGAUCAGUGUUGUAUUCUCUAACCUCUAAAGCGAAGGGAUCAUGCAUAUGGGAUCCUGAGGAAAACAGAUAUCUUGACUUUUUUGUAGCUUACUCUGCUGUUAACCUGGAUGUUGCUGUUAAGGUAUUCUUCAAGCAAGAAUAUCCAGAUGAUGUGCUUCUUUCUUUUAGACAACAAGUGCCUCUCAUCUCAAUUUUUCUUACUGGAGACGACGUGUUCAAAUGGCUUUGGAUAUAGCUCAGUUUAUAUCAGUCUAGAUUCUUGGAUGCAUCAAUUUGUGUUCAUCUUGUCUUGAAUAGUCUCAGCACGAGGCAUGAAUUAUCUUCAUCAUUUCAACCCCCUUAAUUAUUCAUCGAGAUCUGAAGUCUUCAAAUCCCCUAGUUGAUAAGAACUGGACUGUCAAGGGUUGAAGGUUCCUCUUUCUACUCGAUCUCAUUAUACACCCCCUCUCUUUAUAUUUCAGUAAGGGGAUGUUUACUUUGGAGACAAAGGUGGGCUGAUCUUUGUGCGUUUGCCAAAUCUGGUAGAGAUCCAUGUUGGUCAGAUUUCCAACGGAACCUACUUUUAAAUUGUUCCAUGGAAAUAAAGGGAGUUGGAAUCAGAUCGCAUAUAAAAGUUGCCGGAGGUAGCAGAUGCAGCGUGGAGAGGAACAUGAAGAGAUUCAAGUUUUUUUUAUGUUGUAUUUUAUUUGAAAUUGUAUACGAAUUGUACAAUACAUUUUAGAAAUAUGUGGUUGUAGCUAGACCAAAUUGUUAUUUUUUUUAUAUUUACUCCCAAUCUUGCCACUGAUGUUGGUGGCAUUGAGAAUACACACUGAUUCAGUAACAGUGGGAAAGAAAAAGGUAUCUUGCAGCA